The sequence is a ribosomal RNA, 437 nucleotides long. It matches the Rfam family "Bacterial small subunit ribosomal RNA", at positions 341 to 792 of the family's 1533-position model.
ACGGGAGGCAGCAGUGGGGAAUAUUGGGCAAUGGGCGAAAGCCUGACCCAGCAACGCCGCGUGAAGGAAGAAGAUCUUCGGAUUGUAAACUUCUUUUAUGAGGGACGAAGGAAGUGACGGUACCUCAUGAAUAAGCCACGGCUAACUACGUGCCAGCAGCCGCGGUAAUACGGAGGAUCCGAGCGUUAUCCGGAUUUAUUGGGUUUAAAGGGUGCGCAGGCGGGCUGCUAAGUCUCCGGUGAAAUGUCAGGGCUCAACCUUGGCACUGCCGGAGAUACUGGCGGCCUUGAGAGUGGCGGAGGUAUCCGGAAUGUGUGGUGUAGCGGUGAAAUGCAUAGAUAUCACACAGAACACCGAUUGCGAAGGCAGGAUACCAUACCAUAUCUGACGCUCAGGCACGAAAGCGUGGGGAUCGAACAGGAUUAGAUACCCUGGUA